Molecule: ribosomal RNA, 103 nt
Filed under: Alchemilla alpina
Lineage: Eukaryota; Viridiplantae; Streptophyta; Magnoliopsida; Rosales; Rosaceae
Description: partial 5.8S ribosomal RNA
Rfam family: 5.8S ribosomal RNA
About the family: 5.8S ribosomal RNA (5.8S rRNA) is a component of the large subunit of the eukaryotic ribosome. It is transcribed by RNA polymerase I as part of the 45S precursor that also contains 18S and 28S rRNA.
Source: RNAcentral
AYACUUGGUGUGAUUAGCAGAAUCCCGUGAACCAUCGAGUUUUUGGAMCGCAAGUUGCGCCCAAAGCCAUUAGGCCGAGGGMACGUCUGCCUGGGCGUCACAC